GCCGCAACUAUUCAAACCUAUCUCUCAAACGCAAACUCAGCCCUAACAAAACCCUCGAUCAAACUCUCUCUAUUUCAAGCUCACUUCCAUCUCUUUCUUCUUUUUCAACUCUCUCAUUCAAUGCAGCUCCCUCCUUUUCUCAGCCACAACUCCUCUGGCUGAUGUCAAUUUUGAUUCAUGGUUAUUUUGUUCUUGAGUUUUUAUCAUCUAGGCAUUGAUUAUUUUUUGGCCCCCUUUCUGGGCAUUUGAUUUUCAGGACUGAAUUGAAGAAUUUGGAUCGUUUUCCGUUUCUGAUCUUGGACGAAUUUGGAUCCUUUUCCGUUUCUGAUGUUGGACGAUUUUUCAGUGGUUUAAGGGCGGAGUUGUGGCUGUUUGCAAAGUAGGAGUUUUUUUGUCGUAGUGGUCUAAAACUGAAAGAUACUAGGAAGUGUUUUGAACUUAAGGGUAGGGAAGAGUUGAUUCUGUUCUACAAAAAAACACAGAACCGCCGCAUAAAAAAAAAAGAAACACAGAUCAACCGCGAAACGCCGAGACAGAGAUAGCAAUUUGAUUUUGAGGGUCCUUCACCAUUCUCUUUGAUUUUCGGGUUGUGGCCUACUUCCUCUCAAAAGUGGGGUUUUUCAAACUUGGGCUUCUUCACAGUUCUACUUUCAUUUUUGGAUAAAGAGCUGCAUACUUAAUUGCAUCGACUCAAGGUAGGAAGCUUAAGAUGGGGGAGCUUUAAUUGUAGAGCACUGAGAAGAAUGAAGCAAUCCAAGAGAGACUCUUUGUGAUACAGUGUAGAGUCAACAACAAUAUGCUUGCACCUGUUUUCUCAUAUUAAUUUCUCAUAUUUAAUAUGAUAACUUAAACAAGUCUUAUGAAGAAAAUUAUUUUUAUUGAUAAAAUAUUGUUAGUGAAGCUGCCCCCAGCAAUUUAAUAAGAUUUUGUUG
This is a long non-coding RNA of Quercus lobata, 932 nucleotides long. RefSeq lists it as uncharacterized. The record is from RefSeq and is a predicted model, not a curated record. The transcript has 6 exons. Lineage: Eukaryota; Viridiplantae; Streptophyta; Magnoliopsida; Fagales; Fagaceae.